Molecule: long non-coding RNA, 905 nt
Organism: Mustela lutreola (European mink)
Lineage: Eukaryota; Metazoa; Chordata; Mammalia; Carnivora; Mustelidae
Exons: 3
Source: RefSeq, a predicted model, not a curated record
AACAUGUACUUGAUGCCAGACACUUUUAGGGGCUGAAGACAGCACUGAACAAAAGACAUAGUGCCUUUCUUUGCAGAGAACCCUAGAGGCAAGAGACAGACAAGACACACAAUGAGUAAAAUAUGUGAUAUUGCAAAGGGGGUUAAGUGCAGAAGGCAGUGCUGGGGUUGGGACUGUAAUUUGAGAUAGAGAAGGCCUGACUACAAAGGUGCUAUUUGAGUAAAGACCCAGAAGACAUACAGGAAUGUACAUCUAGGGAGGGCAUUCCUGGUAAAAAAAAGAUGCAGAUGCAGGCCUCAUGUAUGGCUGGAGCAAAGCUGGGCCAGCAAAGGGGGGAGGGUGUGAGCUAAACAGCCCCAGGGCUACCACGAGAGGCAUAUCAGCUGAGCCCUUCUCUGUUUCUCACUCUCCAGGACUCCAGGACAAGACUUACAUGUCUCUCCUUUGCGGGUGGGGCUUUCUCAUUGGAAAUGCUGGAAGACGGGCCGCUGUUUCUGGUCACCUUCACAUCCGUUGCCACAGUUGUCUCCACUGCAGUCUAACACAUUGGUCACUUCCCCAGUUUCAGUGGUGGUGCGGUCGGUGGUGGUCCACGAGCAGACGACCCUCUUUCUGACGAAUCAUACGAAGGUCAAUAAGUAGUCUAACUCUGCGCCGUCGCAAUGCCUACGUCAUUCACCGCGCUUCAUCGGGGUGUCUAGGGAUUUUCUUAUCUCACGUCGCUGCAAGGAGGGGAGAGUGCAAGAGAGAGCACGAGAAGGGGGAAGAGGAAGCCUAUGACAUCUGCUGAGCAGGGAGCAGGAUGUAGGGGUGGAGCCCAGGACCUGAGUUCAUGAUCUGAGCCAAAGGCAGAAGCUUAACUGACCCGCCCCUCCUCACCCCCCAGGUGUGCUGUUACUUCACAU